UACGUAGGGGGCGAGCGUUGUCCGGAAUCAUUGGGCGUAAAGGGCGCGUAGGCGGAUAAUUAAGUCUGGUGUGAAAACUUGGGGCUCAACCCCAAGCCUGCAUCGGAAACUGGAUAUCUUGUGGACAGGAGAGGAAAGUGGAAUUCCACGUGUAGCGGUGAAAUGCGUAGAGAUGUGGAGGAACACCAGUGGCGAAGGCGACUUUCUGGACUGUAACUGACGCUGAGGCGCGAAAGCGUGGGGAG
RNAcentral lists this ribosomal RNA (245 nucleotides) under uncultured Desulfitobacterium sp. Its description in RNAcentral is "partial 16S ribosomal RNA". It matches the Rfam family "Bacterial small subunit ribosomal RNA", at positions 524 to 768 of the family's 1533-position model. Lineage: Bacteria; Bacillati; Bacillota; Clostridia; Eubacteriales; Desulfitobacteriaceae. The record is from RNAcentral.